RNAcentral lists this ribosomal RNA (567 nucleotides) under Triticum aestivum (bread wheat). RNAcentral's name for it is "partial small subunit ribosomal RNA". Lineage: Eukaryota; Viridiplantae; Streptophyta; Magnoliopsida; Poales; Poaceae. The record is from RNAcentral.
AUGGUGGCAGUCUAUCUCAUCGUUACAGAUAUAUCUUCCUUGAUUAGUUUUGUAAGCUCUUCAUCAGCGAUGGAGUACUCGACGAAGCUAGUGGUGCUGCUCGUAGCUCUCAUGUCGGCCAUGGCGGUCACGGCCCAAAACUCGGAGCAGGACUUCGUGGACGCCCACAACGCGGCGCGCGCCGACGUGGGCCUUGGGGAGGUGACAUGGGACGCUACGGUGGCAGCCUUCGCGCAGGACUACGCGGAUCAGCGCCGCGGCGACUGCCAGCUGAUCCAUACUCCUGAUGGCCGGCCGUACGGGGAGAACCUCUACGGAGGCGGCGGGACCGAGUGGACGGCGACGGACGCCGUGAAUUCGUGGGUGUCGGAGAAGCAGUACUACGACCACGACAGCAACACCUGCUCGGCGCCCGAGGGUGAGUCGUGCGGGCACUACACGCAGGUGGUGUGGCGCGACUCGACGGCCAUCGGCUGCGCCCGCGUCGUCUGCGACAGCGGCGACGGUGUGUUCAUCAUCUGCAGCUACAACCCGCCAGGCAACUUCCCCGGGGUGAGCCCGUACUAG